GCCAGGUGCCCUCUGCUGGUGUCUACAGUCAUAUUACCGUCAUCCUAGAAACUAAGCAGGGUUGGGUCUGGCCAGUACUUGGAUGGGAGAUUGCCUGGGAAUACCGGGUGAUCUUGGCU
This 119-nucleotide ribosomal RNA is filed under the name Rhinopithecus bieti (black snub-nosed monkey). Lineage: Eukaryota; Metazoa; Chordata; Mammalia; Primates; Cercopithecidae. The record is from RNAcentral.